This 505-nucleotide ribosomal RNA is filed under the name uncultured bacterium. RNAcentral's name for it is "partial 16S ribosomal RNA". It matches the Rfam family "Bacterial small subunit ribosomal RNA", at positions 28 to 507 of the family's 1533-position model. The record is from RNAcentral.
GACGAACGCUGGCGGCGUGCCUAAUACAUGCAAGUAGAACGCACAGUUUAUACCGUAGCUUGCUACACCAUAGACUGUGAGUUGCGAACGGGUGAGUAACGCGUAGGUAACCUGCCUGGUAGCGGGGGAUAACUAUUGGAAACGAUAGCUAAUACCGCAUAAUAUUAAUUAUUGCAUGAUAAUUAAUUGAAAGGUGCAAUUGCACCACUACCAGAUGGCCCUGCGUUGUAUUAGCUAGUAGGUGAGGUAACGGCUCACCUAGGCGACGAUACAUAGCCGACCUGAGAGGGUGAUCGGCCACACUGGGACUGAGACACGGCCCAGACUCCUACGGGAGGCAGCAGUAGGGAAUCUUCGGCAAUGGACGAAAGUCUGACCGAGCAACGCCGCGUGAGUGAAGAAGGUUUUCGGAUCGUAAAGCUCUGUUGUAAGAGAAGAACGGGUGUGAGAGUGGAAAGUUCACACUGUGACGGUAGCUUACCAGAAAGGGACGGCUAACUACGUG